ACACAUGCAAGUCGAACGAUGAAGCCUUUCGGGGUGGAUUAGUGGCGAACGGGUGAGUAACACGUGGGCAAUCUGCCCUUCACUCUGGGACAAGCCCUGGAAACGGGGUCUAAUACCGGAUAACACUCUGUCCUGCAUGGGACGGGGUUAAAAGCUCCGGCGGUGAAGGAUGAGCCCGCGGCCUAUCAGCUUGUUGGUGGGGUAAUGGCCUACCAAGGCGACGACGGGUAGCCGGCCUGAGAGGGCGACCGGCCACACUGGGACUGAGACACGGCCCAGACUCCUACGGGAGGCAGCAGUGGGGAAUAUUGCACAAUGGGCGAAAGCCUGAUGCAGCGACGCCGCGUGAGGGAUGACGGCCUUCGGGUUGUAAACCUCUUUCAGCAGGGAAGAAGCGAAAGUGACGGUACCUGCAGAAGAAGCGCCGGCUAACUACGUGCCAGCAGCCGCGGUAAUACGUAGGGCGCAAGCGUUGUCCGGAAUUAUUGGGCGUAAAGAGCUCGUAGGCGGCUUGUCACGUCGGAUGUGAAAGCCCGGGGCUUAACCCCGGGUCUGCAUUCGAUACGGGCUAGCUAGAGUGUGGUAGGGGAGAUCGGAAUUCCUGGUGUAGCGGUGAAAUGCGCAGAUAUCAGGAGGAACACCGGUGGCGAAGGCGGAUCUCUGGGCCAUUACUGACGCUGAA
Molecule: ribosomal RNA, 682 nt
Filed under: Streptomyces sp. VTT E-042649
Lineage: Bacteria; Bacillati; Actinomycetota; Actinomycetes; Kitasatosporales; Streptomycetaceae
Description: bacterial SSU rRNA
Rfam family: Bacterial small subunit ribosomal RNA
Source: RNAcentral